RNAcentral lists this ribosomal RNA (253 nucleotides) under uncultured bacterium. RNAcentral's name for it is "partial 16S ribosomal RNA". It matches the Rfam family "Bacterial small subunit ribosomal RNA", at positions 524 to 776 of the family's 1533-position model. The record is from RNAcentral.
UACGAAGGGGGCGAGCGUUGUUCGGAAUUACUGGGCGUAAAGGGCGCGUAGGCGGCGACUCAAGUUAGAUGUGAAAGUCCUGGGCUUAACCUGGGGACUGCAUUUGAUACUGGGUUGCUUGAAUUCGGGAGAGGAUAGCGGAAUUCCCAGUGUAGAGGUGAAAUUCGUAGAUAUUCGCAAGAACACCAGUGGCGAAGGCGGCUCACUGGCCCGUAACUGACGCUGAGGCACGAAAGCGUGGGGAGCAAACAGG